GACGAACGCUGGCGGCGUGCUUAACACAUGCAAGUCGAGCGGUAAGGCCCUUUCGGGGGUACGACGAGCGGCGAACGGGUGAGUAACACGUGGGUGACCUGCCCUCAGCUCUGGGAUAAGCCUGGGAAACCGGGUCUAAUACUGGAUAUGACUCCAUGACGCAUGUUGUGGGGUGGAAAGCCUUGUGCGGCUGAGGAUGGGCCCGCGGCCUAUCAGCUUGUUGGUGGGGUGAUGGCCUACCAAGGCGACGACGGGUAGCCGGCCUGAGAGGGCGACCGGCCACACUGGGACUGAGACACGGCCCAGACUCCUACGGGAGGCGAGCAGUGGGGAAUCUUGCGCAAUGAGCGAAAGCCUGACGCAGCGACGCCGCGUGAGGGAUGACGGCCUCGGGUUGUAAACCUCUUUCAGCUCCGACGAAGCGAGAGUGACGGUAGGAGCAGAAGAAGCACCGGCCAACUACGUGCCAGCCGCCGCUGUAAC
This 483-nucleotide ribosomal RNA is filed under the name uncultured bacterium. RNAcentral describes it as "bacterial SSU rRNA". It matches the Rfam family "Bacterial small subunit ribosomal RNA", at positions 28 to 524 of the family's 1533-position model. The record is from RNAcentral.